Molecule: ribosomal RNA, 460 nt
Filed under: uncultured bacterium
Lineage: Bacteria
Description: partial 16S ribosomal RNA
Rfam family: Bacterial small subunit ribosomal RNA
Source: RNAcentral
CCUACGGGAGGCAGCAGUGAGGAAUAUUGGUCAAUGGGCGCAAGCCUGAACCAGCCAAGUCGCGUGAGGGAUGACGGUCCUAUGGAUUGUAAACCUCUUUUGUCGGGGAGCAAGGCCCGCCACGUGUGGCGGGAAGGAGAGUACCCGAAGAAAAGGCAUCGGCUAACUCCGUGCCAGCAGCCGCGGUAAUACGGAGGAUGCGAGCGUUAUCCGGAUUUAUUGGUUUUAAAGGGUGCGGAGGCGGAAGGUUAAGUCAGCGGUAACAUGUCGGGGCUCAACACCGGCCUGCCGUUGAAACUGGUCGUCUUGAGUGAGCGAGAAGUAUGCGGAAUGCGUGGUGUAGCGGUGAAAUGCAUAGAUAUCACGCAGAACUCCGAUUGCGAAGGCAGCAUACCGGCCCUCAACUGACGCUGAGGCACGAGAGCGUGGGGAUCGAACAGGAUUAGAUACCCGGGUAGUC